AGUACGGUGACGGAUGAAGCUUAGAAUAGAAAAUGUGAGCGUGAUCGAACAAGAAGCCGGACCAGAGGAAUUAUUGUGGUGCGUUCCAGUUGAUCUUGUAAGUGGGAAAUUCCCAGUUCCCAGUCAUAAGUGUCAACUGGAACGCCCCCUGAAGUCGUAAUUACAACCCCGGAAACUCGGAUUAAAAAAAGUAGCCAGAGUUUGGAUCCAAUAUGGCUGCUACGUGCGUCGAAAGGGAUGUUUAAGCUGUAACUGUUGAUUUCAUUAGCAGUUUAGUCGUCUUUUUUUGUAAUUAAAUCAAUCAGACCGAUGGAAUCGUGCAAGUUCUCUCUGUGGAGGUGUUUCAUGUCAUUUUCGGUCAGAAACUAUCAUGUAGUGUGUUUUUAUCGUCUGGUAUUAGCGAACAAAACAAAGUUACUCCUUGGACGCGUCCAUGUUGCUUUUCCGACUUGCAACUGGAACACAGUUAUCUCGGGUGUGACGUCAUUCCCACUUCCGAGUUCCGAGGUAAAUGGAACGCAGCAUUAGAGAGGCUUUUACACGUUGGAGAGAGCUUCAAGAAACAGUGGGCUGCAAGUCCAGCACUGGGCUUGUAAUGCUGCGGACUGGUGAGUAAAUAUUUUUUCUUUGCAUCAUCAUUUUAGAGUCGUUUCACCAAAAAAACAUUCAGUCUAUCUCCACAGGUUAGGGUUAGGGUUAGACCAGAAUGUCAGAAUAAUGUUACGGUCCCCUGAUGAUAGAGUUAGCGACGCAUGCUAACGUUAUUUGUUGGAGAUUUUUUGUGCCUUUAUUGUAGAGAUAGGACAGUGGACAGAGUCAGGAAUCAGGGAGAGAGUGGGGAAUGACAUGUGGGAAAGGAUACCACAGGUUGGAUUAGGACCUGGGCCGGCCGCUUGGAGGACUACAGCCUCCGUACAUGGGGCGCGCGCACCAACAACUGCGCCACCAGCGCCCCAUUGUUGGAGAUAUUUGGGCAGAUUAUGACUGAUGCACGGCGAGAAAAGUUGUCGACCCCGUUAGUAGUUGUUUGUAUGCCAAGUCAUCCCAUGUCAGCAGAAGUUUAGCCUGUAGCAUGAUAAUACAGACAUAUUGCAUAUUGUCAAGGUUAAGCUAGCUCUUCUUGCUCCUUAUCUGAGCAGGGCGUAUGCAAACGUUCUCGCAGUUCAAAAGUUUCGCCCUCAUGUUGCUGUUGAAACUAACGUUACUAUACAUACUCUGCACAGUUAUAUCAACCAGCAUAAUGACUUCAAAGUUUAUUCCAGCUUUCUAAAAAGGCGAUCAACCUACAACCCUGCCAGAGUCUUAAAGUCAGACCGCCACAGGAAUGAUGUGUUUGCUGUCCGAGGUGUUCAGCCACUGAAUGAGGAAGAGGAGGAGGCUGAUGUCUUAUAAUAUAGAUCCAGAGCGUGGCAAGUACAAGGAAUAAGGGUCUCAAACAUUCACUCGACAUCUGGCAUGCUGCAAAGUAUUUGGGUAAAAAGCUACCUCAGGUGAGGCUUCUUGUUCUUACUCUCAUAACUGUUCUCUCAUUUGUUUUCUAAAGAUUGUGUUUUUACAUGUUCAAACUUUAUUGUAUAAGGAAGAAAAAGAACAUUUCACAGCAGCACAUGUUCUCAUCUUGUAAUUAGGCGUACACAGUGAAAGACCAAUCGUCAGUCAUGACCUCGAUGAACCACUUCUGGUAUUUCUCUAAACAAGCAACAGCAGAAGAGCAGUUCAAGUAUUGUUGGUAUUUGUGUAGCACCAAACCCAAACUCUUAUUUGUUGGUAUGCUCAUGCUGAAAGGGAAAAAUAAUGUGUUUCAAGGACUUUAUAAUAGGUAUAUAAUGAUUUUUAAAAAUAUAUAUUUUGCAGAUAUUAGAAAUUUUAUUACCUUCAGGUGUGACUACAGUCAUGCUUGUAUUUGUAAUUAUUUUUAUACAAACACGUUCUUUUUUUUAAAUCGACAAUGGCUGCAUCAUUGUUGUUUACGACCAUUGCAAAAUGUAUUUAUAUUGUGACUCUUUAUCGCUCCAGCUGAUUUUCAAGCUGAGGACUCUGCUCACCUUUAUGUUAUUUGGUGCAGUAUGAA
Long non-coding RNA from Labrus mixtus (cuckoo wrasse), 2071 nucleotides. RefSeq lists it as uncharacterized. The transcript is spliced from 3 exons. NCBI's taxonomy places the organism in Eukaryota, Metazoa, Chordata, Actinopteri, Labriformes, Labridae. The record is from RefSeq and is a predicted model, not a curated record.